GCAUUGGUAGCUGAGUGGCAGAAUUCAUGCCUUCCAUGCAGGACACCAGGGUUUAAUUCCUGGCCAAUGCA
This 71-nucleotide transfer RNA is filed under the name Loxodonta africana (African savanna elephant). It matches the Rfam family "tRNA". Rfam says of the family: Transfer RNA (tRNA) molecules are approximately 80 nucleotides in length. The record is from Rfam by way of RNAcentral. Lineage: Eukaryota; Metazoa; Chordata; Mammalia; Proboscidea; Elephantidae.